AUGAUUAGAGACUUCUGCUGGGGGGAUGAAGAAGGAAAGAGAAGGGUCCACUGGAUGUCAUGGGAGCGCAUGACUAAACCAAAGCGUGCUGGUGGUAUAGGCUUCAGAGACAUGCACUUGUUUAACCAAGCACUCCUUGCCAAACAAGGUUGGAGGUUAAUUCAAUUCCCAGAAAGUCUAUGCUCGAGGGUCUUGAAAUCUAAGUACUACUCCAAUGGUGAUCUCCCGGAUACUGUGUUUGCCUCAGAUGCCUCCCUGGUGUGGAGGGCAAUUGAAUUCGGACUAGAACUGCUGAAAAUGGGUUUAAUUUGGCGGGUGGGAGACGGAAAAAAUAUUCAGAUCCAACGAGAUCAAUGGAUACCGGGAAAAGAAUGA
Molecule: ribosomal RNA, 375 nt
Filed under: Triticum aestivum (bread wheat)
Lineage: Eukaryota; Viridiplantae; Streptophyta; Magnoliopsida; Poales; Poaceae
Description: partial small subunit ribosomal RNA
Source: RNAcentral